AACUGUCCUGCAGUGAAGUUGUAACACUUUCAUGCUGCCUCCAGCAGUGAGAAUGCCUCUUUAGAGAAUUUCCAUUGGAAUUGCAUUAAACCUAGAAAUAAAUUUGGAAGUAAACGACAGCUUUUCUGUAUUCAAACUUCACCUCCAGAACGAUUGUGUUUCUUCAGUCAAACACAAGAUGAUGAAACUAAGGAUGACAGAAUUUAUCAACUUUUCCAUUAUAUAGCUGGUCCAGUGGUAGGCCUGAUGUUGAACCUAAUUUUCUACAACUCAAAGGUUUUCCACGUAUAAAUUGGGAUGGAAAAACCUCCUUCAGAAAAUACCUAGAGGACUAUUUGUACACAUGAGACAAUGGGAAGUUUAAAAAAAAUUUUUUAAAUGAUAAAUGAUGAGAGACAACACCAUCAGACCCUGUUUUGCUUCACCAAACCUGAGGUGCAACAUGACAAAUCUGCUUGUAGCUGAUUUCUAGACAGUGAGGAGGCCGUUAGAAAAAGGGCACCAAUAACUACUAUAGAUUGCUCCACUUCUAUCUCGUCCUUCUGAUCAGAGCCUGAACACAAGUCAGCACAUGGAAAGUAGCUUUUAUCACUUACAAUAAAAGUAGACUGUAUA
Trichechus manatus latirostris (Florida manatee) is the source of this 615-nucleotide long non-coding RNA. RefSeq lists it as uncharacterized. The transcript has 3 exons. The record is from RefSeq and is a predicted model, not a curated record. NCBI's taxonomy places the organism in Eukaryota, Metazoa, Chordata, Mammalia, Sirenia, Trichechidae.